UACGUAGGGUGCGAGCGUUGUCCGGAAUUAUUGGGCGUAAAGGGCUCGUAGGCGGUCUGUCGCGUCGGAUGUGAAAACUCUGGGCUCAACCCAGAGCCUGCAUCCGAAACUGGAGUGCUAGAGUUCUGGAGGGGGUAGCGGAAUUCCUGGUGUAGCGGUGAAAUGCGUAGAUAUCGGGAGGAACACCAGUGGCGAAGGCGACUUCCUGGCCUGUUCUUGACGCUGAGGCGCGAAAGCUAGGGGAGCAAACGGG
Molecule: ribosomal RNA, 253 nt
Filed under: uncultured bacterium
Lineage: Bacteria
Description: partial 16S ribosomal RNA
Rfam family: Bacterial small subunit ribosomal RNA
Source: RNAcentral